GUGUUACUUCGGUAUCACAUCUACUAAAAUUGGAACGAUACAGAGAAGAUUAGCAUGGCCCCUGCGCAAAGGAAG
Gadus morhua (Atlantic cod) is the source of this 75-nucleotide small nuclear RNA. The record is from Ensembl. Lineage: Eukaryota; Metazoa; Chordata; Actinopteri; Gadiformes; Gadidae.